Molecule: transfer RNA, 527 nt
Filed under: uncultured Prochlorococcus sp.
Lineage: Bacteria; Bacillati; Cyanobacteriota; Cyanophyceae; Synechococcales; Prochlorococcaceae
Description: partial 16S-23S ribosomal RNA intergenic spacer
Rfam family: tRNA (bases 211-283)
Source: RNAcentral
CAGGGAGACAACAAAAUGUUUAAUAUUAUUAUUUUGUCACCUUAGGUCGAUCGGUAUCUCACGUUCUUAAUUUAUUAAGAAUUUCUUUUCCUAAGUUUUUCUAGGUCACACCCAUUAUUUUCCUGGGCCAUUAGCUCAGGUGGUUAGAGCGCACCCCUGAUAAGGGUGAGGUCCCUGGUUCAAGUCCAGGAUGGCCCAUAUCUCUAUGUUGGGGGUAUAGCUCAGUUGGUAGAGCGCCUGCUUUGCAAGCAGGAUGUCAGCGGUUCGAGUCCGCUUACCUCCACUGAUCACCACCUCUUCCAUAAUCGAUAGAAAGGAAAUGUUUUGAGUUGUGAUCUAAUUCUGAACGAAUCUAGCUUCCUAAUGAAAUUAUUAAGAUGCUGGACUCAUUGAAUUAAUUUCAUUGUUUUCAGAGAACCUUGACAACUGCAUAGAUUAUUUUUUAAAGACAAUAAGCAUCUUUAAUGAUGCAGAUUUAUUAUUUGUGCGAAUGCAUUAAUAACAAUUCUAUUAAGCUGAUGCUUCAA